UAGGGAAUCUUCCACAAUGGGUGCAAACCUGAUGGAGCAAUGCCGCGUGAGUGAAGAAGGUCUUCGGAUCGUAAAGCUCUGUUGUUAGAGAAGAACACGUGCUAGGUAACUACUAGUGCCUUGACGGUAUCUAACCAGAAAGUCACGGCUAACUACGUGCCAGCAGCCGCGGUAAUACGUAGGUGACAAGCGUUGUCCGGAUUUAUUGGGCGUAAAGGGAGCGCAGGCGGUCUGUUUAGUCUAAUGUGAAAGCCCACGGCUUAACCGUGGAACGGCAUUGGAAACUGACAGACUUGAAUGUAGAAGAGGAAAAUGGAAUUCCAAGUGUAGCGGUGGAAUGCGUAGAUAUUUGGAGGAACACCAGUGGCGAAGGCGAUUUUCUGGUCUAACAUUGACGCUGAGGCUCGAAAGCGUGGGGAGCGAACAGGAUUAGAUACCCUGGUAGUCCACGCCGUAAACGAUGAGUGCUGAGUGUUGGGGGCUUUCCGGCCCUCGGUGCUGGAGCUAACGUAUUAAGCACUCCGCCUGGGGAUUGCGACCGCAAGGUUG
Molecule: ribosomal RNA, 549 nt
Filed under: uncultured bacterium
Lineage: Bacteria
Description: bacterial SSU rRNA
Rfam family: Bacterial small subunit ribosomal RNA
Source: RNAcentral